This 253-nucleotide ribosomal RNA is filed under the name uncultured prokaryote. Its description in RNAcentral is "partial 16S ribosomal RNA". It matches the Rfam family "Bacterial small subunit ribosomal RNA", at positions 525 to 777 of the family's 1533-position model. The record is from RNAcentral.
ACAGAGGGUGCGAGCGUUGUCCGGAAUCACUGGGCGUAAAGGGCGCGUAGGCGGGCGAUCAAGCGUGCGGUGAAAGCUCGGGGCUCAACUCCGAGUCGGCCGUGCGAACUGGUUGUCUAGAGUCUGGUAGAGGUCGAUGGAAUUCCGGGUGUAGCGGUGGAAUGCGUAGAGAUCCGGAAGAACACCGGUGGCGAAGGCGGUCGACUGGGCCAGAACUGACGCUGAUGCGCGACAGCGUGGGGAGCAAACAGGA